CGCGUUAACAAUGGACAAGCACAUUAAGUGCCAAUGAAAACACAUACGCUCUACCCGUCGCUGCCUAACAACAGCAACAAAUAGAGCGCUAACCCGCAGUGGUUAGCCGUCCGCUCUAAUUGUCCCAAUCCAGUCUGAGUACGGGCGUAACAAAUGAUACGGGUGCUACUCCGCAUACACCGAUAAGCGGAGCCAAGACUAAUCGGCUGGCUGUCGGCGUACCCUGUCAGUGGGGCUAUCGGCGGCGAGAUCAAAUAGCUGACUAAACCUGUAGACGUGCGAUUCUUGCGUUCUUCGGACCCGGAUGCAAAUUCCGGCGCUUCCACUC
This 328-nucleotide transfer-messenger RNA is filed under the name Anaerolineae bacterium. Its description in RNAcentral is "partial transfer-messenger RNA". It matches the Rfam family "transfer-messenger RNA", at positions 65 to 374 of the family's 374-position model. From Rfam's summary of the family: Bacterial tmRNA, also known as 10Sa RNA or SsrA, is named for its dual tRNA and mRNA-like properties. Lineage: Bacteria; Bacillati; Chloroflexota; Anaerolineae. The record is from RNAcentral.